Molecule: ribosomal RNA, 1400 nt
Filed under: Byasa alcinous
Lineage: Eukaryota; Metazoa; Arthropoda; Insecta; Lepidoptera; Papilionidae
Description: Atrophaneura alcinous 16S ribosomal RNA
Source: RNAcentral
GGGGGAAAAAUUAAUAUAAAAUUAUAAAUAAAAAAAAAAUUUUUAAUAAAAAUAUUAGGGGGUUAAAGUAUUUUUAAAGAAAAAAUUAAUAAAUUUAUAGUUAAAUAGUAUUGCAAAAGAAUUUUGAAAUAAUAGAAAAUUAAUUUUUUUAAAAGUAAAUUUUAUUUAUUGUAUCUUGUGUAUCAGAGUUUAUUAAUAAAAUAUUAUAGGUAAAAUUUUCUCGAAUUUUAAAGAGUUAAUUAAUUAAUAAAGUUAAUGUGGAAUAAUUAUUUUAAAUAAUUAAUUGGAAAUGAAAUGUUAAUCGUUUUAAAAUAUAUCUAGUUUUUUUAGAAAUAAAUUUAAUUUAAAGUAUUAAUUAUUAAUUUUUUUUUUAAAAAAAAAUUAAUAAAAUUAAUACUUAAUAUUUUAAGGGAUAAGCUUUAAAAUAAAAUUUUAUAAUAAUUAUUUAAAAAAUAUUAAAAUUUUAGAAUUUAAAUUGUUAAAAAAUUAUAAUUUUUUAUAAAAAAUUUAAUAUAAAAUAAAAUUUAAAAUAAAAUUUAAUUUUAUAUGAAAAAAUAAUUUUUAAUAAAUAAAAAUUAGUUAUAAUGAUAAAAUUAUAUUUUAAUAAAUAAAAAUUAGUUAUAAUGAUAAAAUUAGUAUAUUUAUUUAUUAAAAUACUUUUAAUAAUUAUAAAAAUAAAAAAAAGUUAUAAUAAGGAAUUCGGCAAAAUUUUAUAUUCACUUGUUUAUCAAAAACAUGUCUUUUUGAAAAUAAUAUAAAGUCUAAUCUGCCCACUGAUUAAUUAUUAAAGGGCUGCAGUAUAUUGACUGUACAAAGGUAGCAUAAUCAUUUGUCUCUUAAUUGGUGACUUGUAUGAAAGAUUGAAUGAAAUAUAAACUGUCUCAUUAUAAUUUAUAAAAUUUAAUUUUUUAGUAAAAAAGCUAAAAUUUAUUUAAAAGACGAGAAGACCCUAUAGAGUUUUAUAUUUUUUUUAAAAAUAAUAAAAUAUAAAUUUUUAAAUUAUAUUUAAUUAAAUUAUUUUGUUGGGGUGACAAAAAAAUUUAAUUAACUUUUUUUAAAAAUUUACAUUAAUUUAUGAAAAAAUGAUCCAUUAAUAAUGAUUAUAAGAAAAAAUUACCUUAGGGAUAACAGCGUAAUUUUUUUUUUUAGGUCAAAUAAGAAAAAAAGUUUGCGACCUCGAUGUUGGAUUAAGAUAAAAUUUAAAUGCAAAAGUUUAAAAUUUUGAUCUGUUCGAUCAUUAAAAUCUUACAUGAUCUGAGUUCAAACCGGUGUAAGCCAGGUUGGUUUCUAUCUUUAAGAAAAUAAAAUAUUUUAGUACGAAAGGAUCAAAUAUUUAAAAUAAUUUUAUAUAAAUGAAUAUUAAUAAAUAAUAUAUAUAUAUAUGUAUAAUAUGUAUAUAC